CGGUGGUUCUGCGUGGAAGGGCCAUCGCUCAACGGAUAAAAGCUACCCUGGGGAUAACAGGCUUAUCUCCCCCAAGAGUCCACAUCGACGGGGAGGUUUGGCACCUCGAUGUCGGCUCAUCACAUCCUGGGGCUGUAGUAGGUCCCAAGGGUUGGGCUGUUCGCCCAUUAAAGUGGUACGCGAGCUGGGUUCAGAACGUCGUGGGACAGUUCGGUCCCUAUCCGUCGCAGGCGUAGGAAAUUUGAGAAGACCGGUCCUUAGUACGAGAGGACCGGGAUGGACGUACCUCUGGUGUACCAGUUGUCCUGCCAAGGGCAUGGCUGGGUAGCUAUGUACGGAAUGGAUAAGCGCUGAAAGCAUCUAAGCGCGAAGCCAACUUC
Molecule: ribosomal RNA, 380 nt
Filed under: Clostridioides difficile
Lineage: Bacteria; Bacillati; Bacillota; Clostridia; Peptostreptococcales; Peptostreptococcaceae
Description: bacterial LSU rRNA
Rfam family: Bacterial large subunit ribosomal RNA
Source: RNAcentral